GACGGAGGGGGCAAGCGUUGUCCGGACUCACUGGGCGAAAAGCGUGCGAAGGAGGUGCGAUGCGUCGGCGCUGAAAGCGCCCGGCUUAACCGGGCGACGGGCGACGAUACGAUCGCACUGGAGGCAGGGAGACGUUGGUGGAAUUCCGGGUGUAGUGGUGAAAUGCGUAGAGAUCCGGAGGAAUGCCGGUGGCGUAAGCGGCCAACGAGUCCUGACCUGACACUGAGGCACGAAAGCGUGGGGAGCAAACCGG
This 253-nucleotide ribosomal RNA is filed under the name uncultured bacterium. RNAcentral describes it as "partial 16S ribosomal RNA". It matches the Rfam family "Bacterial small subunit ribosomal RNA", at positions 524 to 776 of the family's 1533-position model. The record is from RNAcentral.